Molecule: ribosomal RNA, 448 nt
Filed under: uncultured bacterium
Lineage: Bacteria
Description: bacterial SSU rRNA
Rfam family: Bacterial small subunit ribosomal RNA
Source: RNAcentral
UGAGGAAUAUUGCACAAUGGGCGAAAGCCUGAUGCAGCGACGCCGCGUGGGUGAAGAAGGUUUUCGGAUCGUAAAACCCUUUUCUGUGUGACGAGAACGGACGGUAGCACAGGAAUAAGUCUCGGCUAACUACGUGCCAGCAGCCGCGGUAAAACGUAGGAGACAAACGUUAUCCGGAGUUACUGGGCGUAAAGGGCGUGCAGGCGGCAGUCUAAGUCUGGCGUGAAAUAUCCCGGCUCAACCGGGGAAGGUCGUCGGAUACUGGGCAGCUAGAGGACGGUAGAGGCGUGUGGAAUUCCGGGUGUAGUGGUGAAAUGCGUAGAGAUCCGGAGGAACACCAGUGGCGAAGGCGACACGCUGGGCCGUACCUGACGCUAAGACGCGACAGCAUGGGGAGCAAACAGGAUUAGAUACCCACGUAGUCCCUGAGCGGGCUGGCAAGGCGCAU